AGCGAACGUUUGCGGCGGGCCUAACACAUGCAAGUCGAACGAGAUCUCGGGCUUCGGUCCGGGUGAAAGUGGCGCACGGGUGCGUAACACGUGGGUAAUCAACCCUCUGGAUCGGGACAACCCGGGGAAACUCGGGCUAAUACCGGAUACGUCGUCGGAGCUCUAGGGCUCUGACGGGAAAGGCCUGCAAGGGCUACCAGAGGACGAGCUCGCGGCCCAUCAGCUAGUUGGUGAGGUAAUGGCUCACCAAGGCGAAGACGGGUAGCUGGUCUGAGAGGAUGAUCAGCCACACUGGAACUGAGACACGGUCCAGACUCCUACGGGAGGCAGCAGUGGGGAAUAUUGCGCAAUGGGCGAAAGCCUGACGCAGCCACGCCGCGUGUGCGAUGAAGGUCUUCGGAUCGUAAAGCACUGUGGGGGGAGAAGAACAAAGCUGGUGAAGAGCCAGCCCUGACGGUAUCCCCUUAGCAAGCACCGGCUAACUCCGUGCCA
Molecule: ribosomal RNA, 492 nt
Filed under: uncultured bacterium
Lineage: Bacteria
Description: bacterial SSU rRNA
Rfam family: Bacterial small subunit ribosomal RNA
Source: RNAcentral